RNAcentral lists this long non-coding RNA (511 nucleotides) under Anser brachyrhynchus (Pink-footed goose). RNAcentral describes it as "lncRNA (ENSABRG00000003289.1)". The record is from RNAcentral. Lineage: Eukaryota; Metazoa; Chordata; Aves; Anseriformes; Anatidae.
AUGGCUUCUAUGUUGCUGACUGUCACUAUGAAGCGUGACAACAGGAGGUCUUCAGUAUUGAGCAAACAUAACAUCCAAAUAAAAACUGAUCAGGAAAGAUGGAAAAGUAAAGUGAACAAUCCAAAAUGUGCUGACCUUGGGAGCGAGAAGGAAAAUCCAAAUGUGCCUGUUCACUGGUACAAGGUUAGGAACAAGCACUGACAAUAUCAGCGAGGAGACUGUCAGAAAAAUACCGUCUGUGAGAAAGAAAAGUUUGCAGUUUACACAGUAUGUCUGACAUGCCUGCAAAAGUGGAGACCCUUGCCCUUACCUUCUCUUUAAAAGUUGUUAUAUUUCCUCUGAAUGUUUUUAAGGAAAGAAUGAACAGUUGUGUAAGGUAUGUCCUAAAUGCAAAUUUCUUUUUUGUGGUAUUUUAAUUUUUUAACUUUUUUUUUGUUGGUUUGUUUCAUAAUCCAGAACAUUGUCUUUUGUUUUGCUAGAAUAAAUUUUAUUGCUUUUAUUUUUAAUCUCA